UACGAAGGGAGCUAGCGUUGUUCGGAAUCACUGGGCGUAAAGCGCACGUAGGCGGAUUUGUUAGUCAGGGGUGAAAUCCCGGGGCUCAACCUCGGAACUGCCUUUGAUACUGCAAAUCUCGAGUCCGGAAGAGGUGGGUGGAAUUCCUAGUGUAGAGGUGAAAUUCGUAGAUAUUAGGAAGAACACCGGUGGCGAAGGCGGCCCACUGGUCCGACACUGACGCUGAUGCGCGAAAGCCAGGGGAGCGAAUGGG
Molecule: ribosomal RNA, 253 nt
Filed under: uncultured bacterium
Lineage: Bacteria
Description: partial 16S ribosomal RNA
Rfam family: Bacterial small subunit ribosomal RNA
Source: RNAcentral